RNAcentral lists this long non-coding RNA (749 nucleotides) under Bemisia tabaci. RNAcentral's name for it is "lncRNA ENSSSA1NGG002723". Lineage: Eukaryota; Metazoa; Arthropoda; Insecta; Hemiptera; Aleyrodidae. The record is from RNAcentral.
UUUUUUGUCACCUCAAAAGCGUAAAUCUCCAUUGGUUGGUCUCCGUUGGUCUUUUUAAAUUUAGGUUUUUGAAUAUAAUAUACGAUAUUGGAAGUUUACCGAUACGCUGGUGAUGAUGCGAUUACUCCUACAGACAGGAGCGUUGAUCAAACCACUUAGUCAGGCAAUUUUAGGUGAGCAGUCACUUACCACUAAUUGCACGUUUGCCAGAUUUGUGAUUUAAUGUAACCGUAUUUACAUCUAUGCAAAGGCUCUAUCUGCAGUGGAAUAUCCCUGCCAGCUUGUAGUCGCUGAAAAUAGACGCACAUAAUGGAGUCCAAGAUUAGACUCAAAUAUUCUCUCUGUUCCUAGUUCCGCGAUUAAGAGCGAUUCGAGGGUGUGUCAUGGUCAGACCGGAAAAUUUCGUUUCUCACCAGCUUUCCAUGGGUCGCUUUUCCCUACAAGAGACGACCGAAUUGUUAGAAACCCGCGCCUCGAGCCUCGCAGCGCCGCAGGGCCAGCCUCAGGCAGGAGCGCCCCUGGGGGCAACCACCGGGACCUCGGUCAAAGUCAAUCGGAGGACCUUCAGGGACUGGAGGCGAGGAGAUCCCACUUUGGUCAGAAAUCUCGGCAAUAGAGAUUCCUUAGGCAACGCGCAGUUCUACAUCAUCCUGGCACUUUGCAUCGGGUUCGUCUCGGUGGUGGUGGGCUGCUGGCUCUCGGACAACUGCUGGUCCCCGGAGCCGGAGACGUGCGUGACGCUGGCAUAG